This 617-nucleotide ribosomal RNA is filed under the name fungal endophyte. RNAcentral's name for it is "eukaryotic LSU rRNA". The stretch from base 176 to 329 matches the Rfam family "5.8S ribosomal RNA". The record is from RNAcentral. Lineage: Eukaryota; Fungi.
UUACUGAGUUUACGCUCUAUAACCCUUUGUGAACAUACCUAUAACUGUUGCUUCGGCGGGUAGGGUCUCCGCGACCCUCCCGGCCUCCCGCCCCCGGGCGGGUCGGCGCCCGCCGGAGGAUAACCAAACUCUGAUUUAACGACGUUUCUUCUGAGUGGUACAAGCAAAUAAUCAAAACUUUUAACAACGGAUCUCUUGGUUCUGGCAUCGAUGAAGAACGCAGCGAAAUGCGAUAAGUAAUGUGAAUUGCAGAAUUCAGUGAAUCAUCGAAUCUUUGAACGCACAUUGCGCCCGCCAGCAUUCUGGCGGGCAUGCCUGUUCGAGCGUCAUUUCAACCCUCAAGCUCUGCUUGGUGUUGGGGCCCUACAGCUGAUGUAGGCCCUCAAAGGUAGUGGCGGACCCUCCCGGAGCCUCCUUUGCGUAGUAACUUUACGUCUCGCACUGGGAUCCGGAGGGACUCUUGCCGUAAAACCCCCAAUUUUCCAAAGGUUGACCUCGGAUCAGGUAGGAAUACCCGCUGAACUUAAGCAUAUCAAUAAGCGGAGGAAAAGAAACCAACAGGGAUUGCCUCAGUAACGGCGAGUGAAGCGGCAACAGCUCAAAUUUGAAAUCUGGCC